Molecule: ribosomal RNA, 351 nt
Filed under: uncultured bacterium
Lineage: Bacteria
Description: bacterial SSU rRNA
Rfam family: Bacterial small subunit ribosomal RNA
Source: RNAcentral
GGGCCCGCACAAGCGGUGGAGCAUGUGGUUUAAUUCGAUGAUACGCGAGGAACCUUACCAGGGCUUAAAUGUAAGUUGCAUGAUUUAGAGAUAGAUCUUUCUUCGGACUACUUACAAGGUGCUGCAUGGUUGUCGUCAGCUCGUGCCGUGAGGUGUCAGGUUAAGUCCUAUAACGAGCGCAACCCCUACCGUUAGUUGCCAGCAUGUUAUGAUGGGGACUCUAGCGGGACUGCCGGUGCAAACCGAGAGGAAGGUGGGGAUGACGUCAAAUCAUCACGGCCCUUACGUCCUGGCUACACACGUGCUACAAUGGUAACGACAGAGGGCAGCCACCACGCGAGUGGGAGCGAA